This 436-nucleotide ribosomal RNA is filed under the name uncultured bacterium. Its description in RNAcentral is "bacterial SSU rRNA". It matches the Rfam family "Bacterial small subunit ribosomal RNA", at positions 28 to 494 of the family's 1533-position model. The record is from RNAcentral.
GAUGAACGCUGGCGGCGUGCCUAACACAUGCAAGUCGAGCGAUUCUCUUUGGAGAAGAGCGGCGGACGGGUGAGUAACGCGUGGGUAACCUGCCUCAUACACAUGGAUAACAUACCGAAAGGUAUGCUAAUACAGGAUAACAUAAGAGAUUCGCAUGUUUCUCUUAUCAAAGCUCCGGCGGUAUGAGAUGGACCCGCGUCUGAUUAGCUAGUCGGUAAGGUAAUGGCUUACCAAGGCAACGAUCAGUAGCCGACCUGAGAGGGUGAUCGGCCACAUUGGAACUGAGACACGGUCCAAACUCCUACGGGAGGCAGCAGUGGGGAAUAUUGCACAAUGGGCGAAAGCCUGAUGCAGCAACGCCGCGUGAGUGAUGAAGGCCUUCGGGUCGUAAAACUCUGUCCUCAAGGAAGAUAAUGACGGUACUGAGAGAGUCCCC